This 301-nucleotide ribosomal RNA is filed under the name uncultured bacterium. RNAcentral's name for it is "partial 16S ribosomal RNA". It matches the Rfam family "Bacterial small subunit ribosomal RNA", at positions 509 to 809 of the family's 1533-position model. The record is from RNAcentral.
CAGCCGCCACGGGAAUACAGAGGGUGCGAGCGUUAAUCGGAUUUACUGGGCGUAAAGCGUGCGUAGGCGGCUUCUUAAGUCGGAUGUGAAAUCCCUGAGCUUAACUUAGGAAUUGCAUUCGAUACUGGGAAGCUAGAGUAUGGGAGAGGAUGGUAGAAUUCCAGGUGUAGCGGUGAAAUGCGUAGAGAUCUGGAGGAAUACCGAUGGCGAAGGCAGCCAUCUGGCCUAAUACUGACGCUGAGGUACGAAAGCAUGGGGAGCAAACAGGAUUAGAGACCCCCGUAGUCCCUGUCUCUUAUAU